AAAGAUUCCCUUAGUAGCGGCGAGCGAACAGGGAAAAGCCCAGCACUGAAUCCCUCGGUCCUCAGUUGGCCGUUGGGAAAUGUAGUGUUUGGGAGAGUCCAAUUCCGGGCCUAGGUGGCGUGUCUAAGUUCUUCUUGAAUGAGGCUCAUCCCGUAGAGGGUGAUAGGCCCAUAAGACCGCUGGCGAAGCUCGGAGGGCUCUCCUUAGAGUCGUGUUGCUUGAGAGUGCAGCACUAAGUGGGUGGUAAACUCCAUCUAAGGCUAAAUAUGACCACGAGACCGAUAGCAAACAAGUACCGUGAGGGAAAGUUGAAAAGAACUUUGAAGAGAGAGUUCAAUAGUACGUGAAACCGUUCAGGAGUAAACCUGAGAACUCGAAGUUUUGAGGCGUCUGACUCAGCGAGUCGCCCAGGUCGGGUCGCUCGGGCAGUGGUUUGGCUGGCUACGGCUACGCCUGCCGGCCCGGGCGUCGGCCUUCCUGGGACUUGUGCAGUUCAGACGUAGUAGAGCGUCGCAACUUGUUGGUGGCUUGGGUCUAGGGGGCUGCUCUCGAGUCCGACUGUUGAAAUGCGCUGCCUUCGGGCGGCGCGCAUUCGGCUGGGCGGCCUCUGCCCCAUCGGCCGACAGAGUGCAGCUUAGGCUCUGGGCGCGCGACUUGUCGCGUUCGGCCCGGCGCAAGGCACGGCCGACUAACCUAGUCGUCGAGCUCUCGGGCUCGGCUCUAGGCCCGGCCAACUGCUGGCGCCGGUGUUCUCGGACAGCUCAGAGUCGGUUGGCGACGGUAGGUUUCGAGUCCCCUCAGGGCCCGUCUUGAAACACGGACCAAGGAGUCUAGCAUGAGCGCAAGUCAAAGGGAUUUGAGACCCUGCGGCGAAAUGAAAGUGAGCGGCGAGGGACGAUGGUUUACUCAGCCUGACAACUCGCAGUCCCGGGGCGCCUCUACGCCGCUAACGCGGUGAGGCGUACCUUGAGCGCCCAUGCUGGUACCCGAAAGAUGGUGAACUAUGCUUGGUCAGGACGAAGUCAGGGGAAACCCUGAUGGAGGUCCGUAGCGGUUCUGACGUGCAAAUCGAUCGUAUGAACUGAGUAUAGGGGCGAAAGACUAAUCGAACCAUCUAGUAGCUGGUUCCCUCUGAAGUUUCCCUCAGGAUAGCUGGCAUUCGGUUGAGACGAGUCUCAUCCGGUAAAGCGAAUGAUUAGAGGCCUUGGGGCCGAAACGGCCUCAACCUAUUCUCAAACUUUAAAUGGGUGAGAAGCUCGGCUUGCUUAAGAGUGAAGCCGAGUCUCAUACCAGAUCAGAG
RNAcentral lists this ribosomal RNA (1300 nucleotides) under Paraphloeostiba gayndahensis. RNAcentral describes it as "eukaryotic LSU rRNA". It matches the Rfam family "Eukaryotic large subunit ribosomal RNA", at positions 70 to 1121 of the family's 3401-position model. The record is from RNAcentral. Lineage: Eukaryota; Metazoa; Arthropoda; Insecta; Coleoptera; Staphylinidae.